Pipistrellus kuhlii (Kuhl's pipistrelle) is the source of this 427-nucleotide long non-coding RNA. RefSeq lists it as uncharacterized. The record is from RefSeq and is a predicted model, not a curated record. Lineage: Eukaryota; Metazoa; Chordata; Mammalia; Chiroptera; Vespertilionidae. The transcript has 2 exons.
AAAAUAAAAAAGGAGUCUGCCUCGACGGGAGAGGUCGGGGGGGCUUCGCCGCAGGCUGCCCUCCACGCUCAGACAGCCACCUCCCCUCCAGGCGCCCAGACGGGACCCCAAAAGGAGCACCUGCUGCACCUGCGCCCCGCGAUCCGACACGAGACGCCCGCCCGGCGCCCCUGCGCGCGGUUGGGAGACGCCGAGCAGAGCCACGUCCCAGGAACCAGGAACCUGCAGCCGAAUCCCGAGCUGAUCGGCAGCACCACCCGCCCCCAUGCCGGCCCCUAGGUCAGGCGUCUGUUCCACCAGGAAUCGAAUUCUGUGACUAAACAAAAUGCGAAGAGGAAGCAGGAACCACCAGGAACCUGAAACGGAGUUGUGAUUUCUGGUUGCAAUGUCAUGCAACUGAGAAAAAAAAAAGAGAGAGAGAGAGAAA